This 823-nucleotide ribosomal RNA is filed under the name uncultured eukaryote. RNAcentral's name for it is "SSU rRNA". It matches the Rfam family "Eukaryotic small subunit ribosomal RNA", at positions 629 to 1426 of the family's 1831-position model. The record is from RNAcentral.
CGGUGUUCAACUGGCGUGUCGCGGAACGUCCUGCCCGGUGGGAGCGGGCGUUCGCGCGUUCGUUCCCAACUUUAAAUCCUGCCGCGGUGCUCUUUAUUGAGUGUCGAGGUAGGCCGGCACGUUUACUUUGAACAAAUAGAGUGCUCAAGCAGCUAAAUUUCGCUGAUAUUCUGUGGCAUGGAAUAAUGGAAUAGGACCUCGGUUCUAUUUGUGGUUUUCGAACCCGAGUAAUGAGAUAGACGGAUGAGGGGCAUCGUAUGCGACGUAGAGGUGAAAUUCUUGAUCGUCGCAAGACGGACAGAAGCGAAAGCAUUUGCCAAAAACGUUUUCAUUGAUCAAGAACGAAAGUAGAGGUUCGAAGGCGAUCAGAUACCGCCCUAGUUCUAACCAUAAACGAUGCCAGCUAGCGAUCCGCCGACGUUCCUCCGAUGACUCGGCGGGCAGCUUCCGGGAAACCAAAGCUUUUGGGUUCCGGGGGAAGUAUGGUUGCAAAGCUGAAACUUAAAGGAAUUGACGGAAGGGCACCACCAGGAGUGGAGCCUGCGGCUUAAUUUGACUCAACACGGGAAACCUCACCAGGCCCGGACACCGGAAGGAUUGACAGAUUGAGAGCUCUUUCUUGAUUCGGUGGGUGGUGGUGCAUGGCCGUUCUUAGUUGGUGGAGCGAUUUGUCUGGUUAAUUCCGAUAACGAACGAGACUCUAGCCUGCUAACUAGGCGUAUUUUCGACAUCCGAAAGGCCCGACGGCCGCGUCGUUCGCGGCACGGUCGCUCGUGGUUUUUGCUGUCGGCGUACAACACAUUCUUCUUAGAGGGACAGGCGG